RNAcentral lists this long non-coding RNA (1010 nucleotides) under Mus spicilegus (steppe mouse). RNAcentral describes it as "lncRNA (ENSMSIG00000017073.1)". Lineage: Eukaryota; Metazoa; Chordata; Mammalia; Rodentia; Muridae. The record is from RNAcentral.
CUUUAUUGUUUCUCCAGCCUGAACAUCUGAGUCUUCUUACAUUUUAUUUUACUUUGGCUCUGUCCAUCAACUGCCUCUGAAUGCACAUUCUCUGGCCUUCUCACAAGCUUCCAGUCAUCUGACUCUGAAGCAAGUCCCUCCCUCAGCUUUCUACCUACCAUUCUGGCCAUAAUCUACUUACCUGGUGAAGGUCUCCUUUGCAUCCACGAGUGAUAUCCAUCAGCCACCUCCAGGCCUCUGUUGAGCUCUCUGAUCCCCCUUUCUGCAGCCCAUCUAAUGAAGGCUGGAAGUGAACUGUUUACUGAGAAGGCUGAGCAGAGAGACAACUAACUUGGACUCAAUUUUCCAGAGCGCAAAGGCAAGGCAGAGAAGUGCUGUCUUCCCAUCACAAUGCCUCAGUCAUUCUUCAAUAAGUGUGCUGCGAAGACCCUGAAUCUCAAACACUGUUCAGGAUACACCUGCACGAGUCUGUUUAUGUGUAUGUCACAAAGGGAAAGGACAAGGAUUCCUCAGAUGUCCCUGGCACAUCACCAUUAACACUCAGCUGUAUCUUCAUGGCAUUCCAACCUGAAAGGGCUGAUCAAACAGCUUUUAUUUUAAUAUCCCUGCUUCCAGUUGAGAACUCCAAUCCUGUGUUGAGGCUGGACCCGGAAAAAGACCCUGAAGAGGAUAUCAGCAGAGUUGGGGGUUUCGAAGGCUUGUCUCCUUGACUUGAAGAUGGCGGUCGUCCUGCAUCUUCCCAUCUUUCCACUCUGCUCAUCUGUCUCAGCAUCCCCUCUCCUUAGCAUCUCCUCUCCUACUAAAGGCACCAUCCAUAUGGCAGAAGAACCCACCUGCUCUCACGACCUCAUUUAAACUCCUUCAUCUCUUUCUAGAUCUCCUCUCCAAAUAUGAUUGCAUUCUGAGGUCCCUACAUUAGGAUUUGGGGUGGACACAACACAGUCUAUAAGAAUCGAACCCACUCUCCAGGAAGUAGUACCCAGUGCCUGCUGUCAUUGGACCCAUUUGUC